GGAUGGUCCGAAGGCAGAAGCCGGGAAAUCCGUGAGGGAAACAUGCCGUUAGAAUGAAAAACAUUCUAUCGAGCAGCACAUUAACUCAC
This 89-nucleotide ribozyme is filed under the name unclassified sequences. RNAcentral describes it as "Hairpin ribozyme 1 from viruses-like metatranscriptomes". It matches the Rfam family "Hairpin ribozyme 1 from viruses-like metatranscriptomes". The record is from Rfam by way of RNAcentral.